GGAGUUAGCCGGUGCUUCUUCUGUGAGUGAUGUCCUUCCUGCCGGCUAUUAACCCGCAGGCCUUCUUCCUCACUGAAAGUGCUUUACAACCCGAAGGCCUUCUUCACACACGCGGCAUGGCUGGAUCAGGGUUGCCCCCAUUGUCCAAUAUUCCCCACUGCUGCCUCCCGUAGGAGUCUGGGCCGUGUCUCAGUCCCAGUGUGGCUGAUCAUCCUCUCAGACCAGCUACGGAUCGUCGCCUUGGUGAGCCGUUACCUCACCAACCAGCUAAUCCGACAUAGGCUCAUCCGAUAGCGCGAGGCCCGAAGGUCCCCCGCUUUCCCCCGUAGGGCGUAUGCGGUAUUAGCCUGGGGUUUCCCCAGGGUUAUCCCCCACUACCGGGCAGAUUCCUAUGCAUUACUCACCCGUCCGCCGCUCGCCACCAGGGAGCAAGCUCCCCGUGCUGCCGCUCGACUUGCAUGUGUUAGUCCUGCCGCCAGCGUUCAAUCUGAGCCAUAAUCAAACUCUGA
This 509-nucleotide ribosomal RNA is filed under the name uncultured bacterium. RNAcentral describes it as "partial 16S ribosomal RNA". The record is from RNAcentral.